RNAcentral lists this ribosomal RNA (473 nucleotides) under uncultured bacterium. RNAcentral's name for it is "bacterial SSU rRNA". It matches the Rfam family "Bacterial small subunit ribosomal RNA", at positions 335 to 798 of the family's 1533-position model. The record is from RNAcentral.
ACUCCCACGGGAGGCAGCAGUGGGGAAUAUUGCACAAUGGGCGCAAGCCUGAUGCAGCCAUGCCGCGUGUAUGAAGAAGGCCUUCGGGUUGUAAAGUACUUUCAGCAGUGAGGAAGGUGGGUAUGUUAAUAGCAUAUUCAUUUGACGUUAGCUGCAGAAGAAGCACCGGCUAACUCCGUGCCAGCAGCCGCGGUAAUACGGAGGGUGCGAGCGUUAAUCGGAAUUACUGGGCGUAAAGCGCAUGCAGGUGGUUUGUUAAGUCAGAUGUGAAAGCCCGGGGCUCAACCUCGGAAUUGCAUUUGAAACUGGCAAACUAGAGUACUGUAGAGGGGGGUAGAAUUUCAGGUGUAGCGGUGAAAUGCGUAGAGAUCUGAAGGAAUACCGGUGGCGAAGGCGGCCCCCUGGACAGAUACUGACACUCAGAUGCGAAAGCGUGGGGAGCAAACAGGAUUAGAUACCCUGGUAGCGUCGUC